AAAGACGGUCUUGCUGUCACUUAUAGAUGGAUCCGCGCUGCAUUAGCUAGUUGGUAAGGUAACGGCUUACCAAGGCAACGAUGCAUAGCCGACCUGAGAGGGUGAUCGGCCACACUGGAACUGAGACACGGUCCAGACUCCUACGGGAGGCAGCAGUAGGGAAUCUUCCGCAAUGGGCGAAAGCCUGACGGAGCAACGCCGCGUGAGUGAUGAAGGUCUUCGGAUCGUAAAACUCUGUUAUUAGGGAAGAACAUAUGUGUAAGUAACUGUGCACAUCUUGACGGUACCUAAUCAGAAAGCCACGGCUAACUACGUGCCAGCAGCCGCGGUAAUACGUAGGUGGCAAGCGUUAUCCGGAAUUAUUGGGCGUAAAGCGCGCGUAGGCGGUUUUUUAAGUCUGAUGUGAAAGCCCACGGCUCAACCGUGGAGGGUCAUUGGAAACUGGAAAACUUGAGUGCAGAAGAGGAAAGUGGAAUUCCAUGUGUAGCGGUGAAAUGCGCAGAGAUAUGGAGGAACACCAGUGGCGAAGGCG
Molecule: ribosomal RNA, 532 nt
Filed under: Staphylococcus aureus
Lineage: Bacteria; Bacillati; Bacillota; Bacilli; Caryophanales; Staphylococcaceae
Description: bacterial SSU rRNA
Rfam family: Bacterial small subunit ribosomal RNA
Source: RNAcentral